This 468-nucleotide ribosomal RNA is filed under the name uncultured bacterium. Its description in RNAcentral is "partial 16S ribosomal RNA". It matches the Rfam family "Bacterial small subunit ribosomal RNA", at positions 28 to 507 of the family's 1533-position model. The record is from RNAcentral.
GACGAACGCUGGCGGCGUGCUUAACACAUGCAAGUCGAACGGAAAGGCCCUGCUCUUGCGGGGUGCUCGUGUGGCGAACGGGUGAGUAAAACGCGAGUAUCCUGCACUUAUAUUUGGGAUAACUUCAGGAAACUGGGGCUAAAAUCCGAUAGGAGCUACUGAUGCACGGGGGGGGUUGGAAAGUUUCGGCGGUUGGGGCUGGACUCGAGGCUUAUCCGCUUGUUGGUGGGGUAGUGGAGUACCAAGGUUUUGAAGGGUAGGCGGCCUGAGAGCGUGACCGGGCACAUGGGGACUGAGGUACGGCGCAGACGGCUACGGGAGGCAGCAGUGGGGAAUCUUGCGCAAUGGGCGGAAGCGUGAGGCAGAAACGCCGCGUGCGGGAUAACGGCUUUCGGGGUGUAAACCGCUUUCGCCUGUGACGAGGCGUGAGUGACGGUAAUGAGUAAAGAAGCACCGGCUAACUACGUG